Long non-coding RNA from Lagopus muta (rock ptarmigan), 1421 nucleotides. RefSeq lists it as uncharacterized. The record is from RefSeq and is a predicted model, not a curated record. The transcript is spliced from 3 exons. NCBI's taxonomy places the organism in Eukaryota, Metazoa, Chordata, Aves, Galliformes, Phasianidae.
ACAUCUGUUGUCCUUGGCACACAAAAGGAACUUUUGUUGUAGUUUUUUGUUUGUUUGUUUGUUUUCUUAAGGAAAAAGAUGUGGCUUAAUUAAGCAGUAUUUAUAUUAAUUUGACUCAGCUGGGAUCUGGAAGCAACAAAUCAUAUAAUGCAGCCCAGUGAGCCUUUCUUCAGGUGUUUCUGCUUGUUGCAACCCCUUCAUCUGAGCUCUAAGACAGUGAGUUAUCAGAACAUUAUCUCUUUUUUCUUUUUGGUCUGCUCAGAACAUUUUGAACCAACAUUACCUCAGUGCAUUCUGAAUGACUGCAUUAUCUGAUCUUCAGGACUGUGAGCAGAAAUGAAAUGGCAUCUUCCACGAAGAAUUGCACCAUAGUACAACUGUCCCUGUGGUAAUAAGUCAAAAUGGAUGUAAAUGCAAAUCUUCAGAAGAAAAACCAAGAGUGUUUAAUUCUCUUUGAUUCCAGUGACACCCAGAUGCCUUAAUGCUUUUGAAAGUCUGUGUUUGAUUUUCCUCAUUAAGAAGAAUAGAUCAAGAAUAUUUUCUCCUUUUCUGAAUAACAGGAAACAUGAAAAAUUAAUCCCUGAUAGAUACAAGUUGGCUUUCUGAUUUAUAGACAGAAAGGGUGAUUAAAUCUUUCUGAUAUUUUGUCUGUUUGCUUGUAAAGUAAAAAUAAAAUAAAAGGACAUUCAUUGAGAUAAUAAGAUGAACUCUUAGAGCUGCAUUUGUUUCCAUUUUUUGUAUCUGCAGUAGAAAACUGUGAAAUUCGUGAAUAUAAUUCAGUAUUUUUAAUGAAAACUUGCAUUUCCUUGCAGUUAUGGGUGAGGCAUACUUUUAUGUAUUUUGACUUCAGCAAAUUCCAAAAAUUUUUGUAAAAAUAUUUAUAAGAAGCACAAAUGAAUUUUUGUCUCGUGUGGGCUUUAUUUUGGCUUAAGAAAGAUUUGGUUUCAGCCUAUGGUUAGUGACUCUUUCUACACCCUGUUUACCAAGAUAUAUUUCAACAACUGCAGUCCUCCAGAAUGAAAAUUCAGUGGUAGAAGUGUUAGCAAAUACCUAACCUUCAAUGAAUGUGAAGCAAGUUAGAUGCUAAAUUGAUAUUUGUGCCUCUGUACUCCUUUCUCUUCCAUCCCUUCUCUCUGUUAAAUACUUAAUUCCUAAUACAUCAAAGUUCUGUCACCCCAUGACUGAGAAGCAAGUGGAAUGUAGGGCUGGUGAACCAAUUGUAUUUAUAUAUAUAUAAAAGAAUUUUAACUAGAUUUUCAAAAAGCAAUAGGAUUAACAUUCAGUGUGUAAAACUUGAGCAAAAUGGAAGAUUUUCUUAUUCAGUGUGAGACAGAUAAUUGGCUCUGUCUGGGUUAUUCUAUUAUGUACCAAAGAAUACCUUUUAUCAAGAAAUAAUAAUCACCCAGAAAUUGGGUUGAACU